Molecule: ribosomal RNA, 829 nt
Filed under: uncultured bacterium
Lineage: Bacteria
Description: bacterial SSU rRNA
Rfam family: Bacterial small subunit ribosomal RNA
Source: RNAcentral
UGGAAACUGUNUGACUUGAGUGCAGAAGGGGAGAGUGGAAUUCCAUGUGUAGCGGUGAAAUGCGUAGAUAUAUGGAGGAACACCAGUGGCGAAAGCGGCUCUCUGGUCUGUCACUGACGCUGAGGCUCGAAAGCGUGGGUAGCGAACAGGAUUAGAUACCCUGGUAGUNCACGCCGUAAACGAUGAGUGCUAGGUGUUAGGCCCUUUCCGGGGCUUAGUGCCGGAGCUAACGCAAUAAGCACUCCGCCUGGGGAGUACGACCGCAAGGUUGAAACUCAAAGGAAUUGACGGGGGCCCGCACAAGCGGUGGAGCAUGUGGUUUAAUUCGAAGCAACGCGAAGAACCUUACCAGGUCUUGAUAUCCCGAUGCUAUUCUUAGAGAUAGGAAGUUACUUCGGUACAUCGGAGACAGGUGGUGCAUGGUUGUCGUCAGCUCGUGUCGUGAGAUGUUGGGUUAAGUCCCGCAACGAGCGCAACCCUUAUUGUUAGUUGCCAUCAUUAAGUUGGGCACUCUAGCGAGACUGCCGGUAAUAAACCGGAGGAAGGUGGGGAUGACGUCAAAUCAUCAUGCCCCUUAUGACCUGGGCUACACACGUGCUACAAUGGUCGGUACAACGAGUUGCGAGCCGGUGACGGCAAGCUAAUCUCUGAAAGCCGAUCUCAGUUCGGAUUGGAGGCUGCAACUCGCCUCCAUGAAGUCGGAAUCGCUAGUAAUCGCGGAUCAGCACGCCGCGGUGAAUACGUUCCCGGGCCUUGUACACACCGCCCGUCACACCACGAGAGUUUGUAACACCCGAAGUCGGUGAGGUAACCUUUUAGGGGCCAGCCG